This 1337-nucleotide long non-coding RNA is filed under the name Gouania willdenowi (blunt-snouted clingfish). Its description in RNAcentral is "lncRNA (ENSGWIG00000019258.1)". The record is from RNAcentral. Lineage: Eukaryota; Metazoa; Chordata; Actinopteri; Blenniiformes; Gobiesocidae.
UGUAUGAACACAGUGCAGCAAGGUUACACCUCGAGUGUCGUCUGAGAAGUGGCGGUUGUAUUUUGUUGAGCUGGUUUCUCGCUGCUCCGGCUGUGCAAACAUAUAUUAUUGGACUUUUCUGACGGACACAUUUGGUUCUUACAACGGUGCAAAGACAUGAACUUCGCCACUUGCUAUUGUCUUUCUCUACUAUUUAUAAUAGUAGUACAAUGUAAACCAUCUUGCCAUCCCUAUCAGAAGGAUGGUCUCACACACUACCUGUUGUUAGACCCAGAGGGGGUUUUGAAUGCCCCACCCACCGACUGUGAUGUUUCAUACGAACUUCAAAACGGCACUAAUAUCGCCAACCUGAACGGAAAUAAACUCCCUUACGUGAUAGAUAUUACCAUCAAUGGACUCACAACCACGAUGUGUUUCACAUAUAUUGGCAUCACGUGCGCCUGCAACUUAAAGUCAGCUGUAGUGAAACAACUCCCUCCACUGUGGAUCAAAGCAUCAAACCCACUCCCUCCACUGUGGAUCAAAGAAACCAUCUCCUACUUAAGAUCCUCUUGCCCAUUGGACUUGUGGUGGUGGUCAUUGUUACCAUUGUUGCUCUGGUGUGUCUAUGGAAGGGAAAGAAAAUCAGGUAAAUUUUUCAUCAUAUUGGGACAUGAAAAUACUUGCAUUUAUUUUUCUUAGAAUUAACCAACAUAUAUUGUGUCACAUAGAUGCUCCAUGUUCAGAUUCUACACGUUGGUGAAGACAACCAACGAGGAACACCAAGCAAACGACAUUGAGCUUGGAGAAGUGAAUUAGGAAUGAGUAUUUCUAAAAUAUUUUGGCCCAUUUUAAAAAAAACAAAAAAACAUUUAAAAUGGCUUUUUUUUUUUAGAUACAAUACUGUACAUGCAUCUAUAGUAAUAUAUAGACUUAUUAUCACCUCACACAAUUACACACACAGCACACUGCUUUUACCUUUUGAAAUGUUUAUAUUUAAAUAUUGUGUUCAUACUUUGACUAUUUCUGACCUUUUCUUACUGACUUUUUAAACUCCCCUUAGGGAAACCUACACUGGUGUGAAAGUGAAUGAAAGCUGUGGAAGCUAAGACACAUUACACCCCAUUUACAGGUUUAGAUCACAGCAGUAAGAUUAACCUGAUUGUUUAAAAUACUUAUGGCAGGGGUCACCAACACGGGGCCCGUGGGCACCAGGGAGCCCGUAUGGACCAUGUGAGGUUCCCUCAGGAGCUCUAGUCACCAAUGAGCUCCAUUUAAAAUCUGAUUUACUUUCCAGGAUUCAAACUCAUUUUGAUUUUCAUAAAAUGAAUAAAUUGUUACAUUUUACAAAUGUUACA